This 451-nucleotide ribosomal RNA is filed under the name uncultured bacterium. RNAcentral's name for it is "partial 16S ribosomal RNA". It matches the Rfam family "Bacterial small subunit ribosomal RNA", at positions 354 to 796 of the family's 1533-position model. The record is from RNAcentral.
GUGGGGAAUAUUAGACAAUGGGGGGAACCCUGAUCCAGCCAUGCCGCGUGUGUGAAGAAGGCCUUUUGGUUGUAAAGCACUUUAAGCGAGGAGGAGGCUACCGAGAUUAAUACUCUUGGAUAGUGGACGUUACUCGCAGAAUAAGCACCGGCUAACUCUGUGCCAGCAGCCGCGGUAAUACAGAGGGUGCAAGCGUUAAUCGGAUUUACUGGGCGUAAAGCGCGCGUAGGUGGCCAAUUAAGUCAAAUGUGAAAUCCCCGAGCUUAACUUGGGAAUUGCAUUCGAUACUGGUUGGCUAGAGUAUGGGAGAGGAUGGUAGAAUUCCAGGUGUAGCGGUGAAAUGCGUAGAGAUCUGGAGGAAUACCGAUGGCGAAGGCAGCCAUCUGGCCUAAUACUGACACUGAGGUGCGAAAGCAUGGGGAGCAAACAGGAUUAGAAACCCUGGUAGUCC